RNAcentral lists this signal recognition particle RNA (299 nucleotides) under Phascolarctos cinereus (koala). RNAcentral describes it as "Metazoan signal recognition particle RNA (ENSPCIG00000024940.2)". It matches the Rfam family "Metazoan signal recognition particle RNA". Rfam says of the family: The signal recognition particle (SRP) is a universally conserved ribonucleoprotein. It is involved in the co-translational targeting of proteins to membranes. Lineage: Eukaryota; Metazoa; Chordata; Mammalia; Diprotodontia; Phascolarctidae. The record is from Rfam by way of RNAcentral.
GCUGGGUAUGAUGGCACACACCUGUAAUUCCAGCUAUCAGCGGGGAGAAGCUGGUGGAUCUCUUGAGUUCAGGAGUCCUGAGCUUCAGAGGGCUAUUGCUGAUCAAGUGUCUGCAUUAAGUCCAACACUACUAGAGUAAGCCCCUGGGAACAAGGAGUGAUCAGGUUGCCUAAGAAGAGGCAAACCAGUUGAGGCUGGAAAUGGGGCAGGUCAAACUCCAGUGCCAAUCAAGAGUGGGAUCAGUCUGUGAAUGGCCCCUGCACCUCCACCUGGACGAGAUAGGGAGACUCAGUCUUCAU